AUGUCUACCUGUCUCACUGAUCUGAUCAAUGCCAAUGAGGUGGAUUUCAUUGGGUUGCAGGAAACAAUGAAGAGUAGUUAUACUCCUUCUUUUUUUAGAAAAUUAGAUCCACACCAAAGAUUUAUGUGGGAAUGGAACCCUUCUAGGGGGAAAUCUGGGGGAAUCCUUUGUGGGGUCAAUAAGGAUAAGUUCGACAUCAUGGAAGUGGAACAUGGGAGAUACAUUUUGCAAGUUAAACUCUUUGAUAAGAGCAGAAGUUGCAAUUGGGUGCUGAUGGUAGUUUAUGGGGCGGCUCAGGAUGAGAAUAAACCAGAAUUUAUAGCAGAGAUGUCAUCUAUGUGCCAUAAAAUCUCUGUUCCUUAUAUAGUUGGAGGGGACUUUAACAUCAUUCGUCACAGUGGAGAGAAGAACAAAAGAACCCCUUUAUCUCAUUUCUCUGAUGUCUUUAACUCAGUUAUACACCUGCUGGGGCUGAGAGAGAUUCAUAUGUCAGGUGGCUGUUACACCUGGUCGAACAAACAGGAACACCCUACCCUGGAACAGCUGGAUAGAGUUUUAAUGUCUUCAGACUGGGAAGAUCUUUAUCCCCUUGUCUCUGUUAAAAAGCUAGUUAAGGAGAUCUCUGACCAUAAUCCCUUACUAUUG
Molecule: ribosomal RNA, 645 nt
Filed under: Triticum aestivum (bread wheat)
Lineage: Eukaryota; Viridiplantae; Streptophyta; Magnoliopsida; Poales; Poaceae
Description: partial small subunit ribosomal RNA
Source: RNAcentral